CCUACGGGAGGCAGCAGUGGGGAAUAUUGCACAAUGGGGGGAACCCUGAUGCAGCAAUGCCGCGUGGGUGAAGAAGAACUCCGGUGCGUAAAGCCCUGUCAGCAGGGAAGAAAAUGACAGUACCUGGACAAGAAGCCCCGGCUAACUACGUGCCCGCAGCCGCGGUAAUACGUAGGGGGCAAGCGGUAUCCGGAUUUACGGGGUGUAAAGGGAGCGCAGGCGGCGUGGCAAGUCAGAUGUGAAAACCCGGGGCCCAACCCCGGGAGUGCAUUUGAAACUGCCAUGCUGGAGUGCCGGAGAGGUAAGCGGAAUUCCUAGUGUAGCGGUGAAAUGCGUAGAUAUGACGAAGAACCCCGAUUGCGAAGGCAGCUUGCUGCAGCGGAACUGACGCUGAUGCUCGAAAGCGCGGGUAUCGAACAGGAUUAGAUACCCUAGUAGUC
Molecule: ribosomal RNA, 440 nt
Filed under: uncultured bacterium
Lineage: Bacteria
Description: partial 16S ribosomal RNA
Rfam family: Bacterial small subunit ribosomal RNA
Source: RNAcentral